GAAAUGCGAUAAGUAGUGUGAAUUGCAGAAUUCAGUGAAUCAUCGAAUCUUUGAACGCACAUUGCGCCCUUUGGUAUUCCUAGGGCAUGCCUGUUCGAGCGUCAUCUAAACCUUCAAGCCCUGCUUGGUGUUGGGUGCCUGUCCCGCCUCCGCGCGCGGACUCACCUCAAAUCCAUUGGCGGCCCCCGCGUCGGCCACGAGCGCAGCAGAAACGCGAACUCGUGAGCCCGUCCGGGCGGCUCCCAGAAGCUACACCCACCCAGUUUGACCUCGGAUCAGGUAGGGAUACCCGCUGAACUUAAGC
Molecule: unclassified non-coding RNA, 304 nt
Filed under: plant metagenome
Description: partial contains 5.8S ribosomal RNA, internal transcribed spacer 2, and large subunit ribosomal RNA
Rfam family: 5.8S ribosomal RNA (bases 1-104)
Source: RNAcentral